This 830-nucleotide ribosomal RNA is filed under the name Leucobacter sp. RNAcentral's name for it is "bacterial SSU rRNA". It matches the Rfam family "Bacterial small subunit ribosomal RNA", at positions 56 to 891 of the family's 1533-position model. Lineage: Bacteria; Bacillati; Actinomycetota; Actinomycetes; Micrococcales; Microbacteriaceae. The record is from RNAcentral.
UGCAAGUCGAACGCUGAAGCCCCAGCUUGCUGGGGUGGAUGAGUGGCGAACGGGUGAGUAACACGUGAGUAACCUGCCCAUCACUCUGGGAUAAGCGCUGGAAACGGCGUCUAAUACUGGAUACGAGCAGCGACCGCAUGGUCAGCUGCUGGAAAGACUGGUUCGGUGAUGGAUGGACUCGCGGCCUAUCAGCUUGUUGGUGAGGUAAUGGCUCACCAAGGCGACGACGGGUAGCCGGCCUGAGAGGGUGACCGGCCACACUGGGACUGAGACACGGCCCAGACUCCUACGGGAGGCAGCAGUGGGGAAUAUUGCACAAUGGGCGCAAGCCUGAUGCAGCAACGCCGCGUGAGGGAUGACGGCCUUCGGGUUGUAAACCUCUUUUAGUAGGGAAGAAGCCUUCGGGUGACGGUACCUGCAGAAAAAGCACCGGCUAACUACGUGCCAGCAGCCGCGGUAAUACGUAGGGUGCAAGCGUUGUCCGGAAUUAUUGGGCGUAAAGAGCUCGUAGGCGGCUUGUCGCGUCUGCUGUGAAAACCCGAGGCUCAACCUCGGGCCUGCAGUGGGUACGGGCAAGCUAGAGUGCGGUAGGGGAGAUUGGAAUUCCUGGUGUAGCGGUGGAAUGCGCAGAUAUCAGGAGGAACACCGAUGGCGAAGGCAGAUCUCUGGGCCGUAACUGACGCUGAGGAGCGAAAGCAUGGGGAGCGAACAGGAUUAGAUACCCUGGUAGUCCAUGCCGUAAACGUUGGGAACUAGAUGUAGGGCCUGUUCCACGGGUUCUGUGUCGUAGCUAACGCAUUAAGUUCCCCGCCUGGGGAGUACGGCCGCAA